CCUACGGGUGGCAGCAGUGAGGAAUAUUGGUCAAUGGGCGUAAGCCUGAACCAGCCAAGUCGCGUGAGGGAUGAAGGUUCUAUGGAUCGUAAACCUCUUUUAUAAGGGAAUAAAGUGUGGGACGUGUCCUAUUUUGUAUGUACCUUAUGAAUAAGGAUCGGCUAACUCCGUGCCAGCAGCCGCGGUAAUACGGAGGAUCCGAGCGUUAUCCGGAUUUAUUGGGUUUAAAGGGUGCGUAGGCGGCCUUUUAAGUCAGCGGUGAAAGUCUGUGGCUCAACCAUAGAAUUGCCGUUGAAACUGGGGGGACUGAGUAUGUUGGAGGCAGGCGGAAUGCGUGGGGGAGCGGUGAAAUGAUGAGAUAUCACGCAGAACCCCGAUUGCGAAGGAAGCCUGCCAAGCCAUGACUGACGCUGAUGCACGAAAGCGUGGGGAUCAAACAGGAUUAGAUACCCCGGUAGUC
Molecule: ribosomal RNA, 460 nt
Filed under: uncultured bacterium
Lineage: Bacteria
Description: partial 16S ribosomal RNA
Rfam family: Bacterial small subunit ribosomal RNA
Source: RNAcentral